Molecule: long non-coding RNA, 919 nt
Filed under: Lathyrus oleraceus (garden pea)
Lineage: Eukaryota; Viridiplantae; Streptophyta; Magnoliopsida; Fabales; Fabaceae
Description: Pisum sativum (pea) long non-coding RNA (PSAT_LNC033189)
Source: RNAcentral
UCUAUUCUACCACAAAUUUGAAUAAUCCAAAAAAAGGAAUAAAUUCACAUUUUAUUUUUACACUUUGUCUAAAGAACUCUACAUUUUUGAAUACAUUAAGAAAUUGAACAAGAUUACAAAAAUAAUAUCUCAAGAAUGUGGUUUCCUCAUAGUUGGCAAGUGUGUUCUUGUCCUUUUCUUCUUGUCUUCAUAUGCAGCAGUAACUUGGUUUUGGACAUAUUUUGUCCUAUAUACAGAAAUCACAGUAAAUUAACAAUAUUAAGGAAACAAGUACAAAGACCUAAAAGCCAACUCAUAAAGUGAUAUAACAGAUCUUGAUACUUUGUGGCACAUAAGGAAGUUUGUAUCAAAAUGGCAAGAUAACAUAUCACAUUUUAAAAAGUUUUUCAUUAUUAUUACCAUGGAUAAUAUCUCAGCAACAACACAUAUCAGUUUGAAACCUCAAUCUUUGAAUAUAAAAUCAGCACCACAUAUCAGAAUUGGGGAGGAAAAAAAAAGAGAAAAAAAAGGAGAACAACCAUCAUCAGAACCUUAAAGCACAACAUAAUAAUUUUUUUCCAAGAAUCCCAUAUUAGUUUUUCAAAAAAAUAAGCACUUAACAGAUAAAAAAUAAACCCUACUGAUAAAAAAAUCCCAGUUUUUGUUAAAAAAAAGUACAUGAAUCCAUGAACGGAGGCAAAGUUUCAGAAGUAAGAUACCUGAGAAUCAACCACAACGUCUAAAAAUCCUUCCACCAGUUCAGGUUAGUGUUGAUCCCUCCUUUUGUUUUUCUUGUUGUGUGUUGUUGUGUCGAUCUAAUGUGCAUCAUAGGGGCAUAAUUUAUGGGUUUUUCUGAGGUUUGAAAUUUUGUUUUUCUUAAGAAGUUGGAAUUUAGGAUAGUGUUAAGGAUUUAAUGGGCAUGGUUAAUGCUUUCCCUUUU